Molecule: transfer RNA, 82 nt
Filed under: Eggerthellaceae bacterium
Lineage: Bacteria; Bacillati; Actinomycetota; Coriobacteriia; Eggerthellales; Eggerthellaceae
Also listed under: 2 other names
Description: tRNA-Leu
Rfam family: tRNA
About the family: Transfer RNA (tRNA) molecules are approximately 80 nucleotides in length. Their secondary structure includes four short double-helical elements and three loops (D, anti-codon, and T loops). Further hydrogen bonds mediate the characteristic L-shaped molecular structure. tRNAs have two regions of fundamental functional importance: the anti-codon, which is responsible for specific mRNA codon recognition, and the 3' end, to which the tRNAs corresponding amino acid is attached (by aminoacyl-tRNA synthetases). tRNAs cope with the degeneracy of the genetic code in two manners: having more than one tRNA (with a specific anti-codon) for a particular amino acid; and 'wobble' base-pairing, i.e. permitting non-standard base-pairing at the 3rd anti-codon position.
Source: RNAcentral
GCCCGAGUGGCGGAAUGGCAGACGCGGCGGUCUCAAAAACCGUUGGGAAACCGUGAGAGUUCGAAUCUCUCCUCGGGCACCA